Amphiprion ocellaris (clown anemonefish) is the source of this 2168-nucleotide long non-coding RNA. NCBI's taxonomy places the organism in Eukaryota, Metazoa, Chordata, Actinopteri, Pomacentridae. The record is from Ensembl.
GGGUUAUUUGGGGAUAUGAUGCUGUAAUUGAUGACCGUGGUGGAAGCUGAAUUAGUGAGGAUGACUCCUGCUCCUGUCAUCUCUAAGCUCCUCACACAUCUUUACCUGCACAUGAGGAAAAUCACUCCUGUAGAAUGCAGAUGUUCAGAGGGAGAUGAUGCCACAUCUGGUCCAGCUGAUGGAAGGUCUUGAAGUUCUCUGACUGGCCUCGACUGAAGAUGGUCCUCUCACUAUGUUUAAGGUUCAGAUGCUCAGUAACAAACUCCAACAAUGUGCCAACAGGGAAGCUUUAGGUUUAAUUAAAUGUUGUUAUGAAGGUAUCGCUGUUUUUCUUUGUGAAUGCAAUGUGCUCCAACUGAAACUUGAAUUAGAACUUAGAAGUAAAUCCUUCCAUCUGAAAGGAUUUAGUUGCAUUAAUAACCUCAUAACAUUCUAAUUUUUAUUCCAGUCUUGGUUGGAAAUAGAAUCUCUGUAUUGAUUCAGGUAAAAACUGAACUUCACCGCAUGUUGGAGCAAAACAACCAGAUGAAAACUGUGAUGUUGUUGGAUUGUCAGACCGUAAUGUUGCAGCUCAAAGCAGCUUUUCUAUCUCAGUUCAUUCUGACAUUCAGCUAUGAAUCAACACAGCAGAUGGUGAUCCAUGCUGUGGAAGUCUCACAUCUCCUGAUUUAAUGGCGCUGCUUUGCACUUUUUACGCUGUUUAUUCACCAACACUUUAUUUAAUAAAAGUCCCAUCUAGUUUUUAUGAGGAAAGUGAUGUUUUAAUUUCUCUGUGAAUAACUGCAGUCUAAUGCAACAGCUGGAGUUGUAACAUCUGUCCUGAUAUUGAUCAUGAAGUAUUGAUCAGAAUACUUAUGGUUAGCAGUCAUCCCUGAAGUUUUACAUUAAAAUCUUUACUUGUGUUGUGAACUUUGGUAAGAAGCAGAAACUUUUACGUUGCCAUGGAUACAUAAGUGUUAAAUUCUGUCCAUGUUUCCAUUUUGGGAAAUUCAGUCCAGUUCCAGAAUGUGGAGGAAUUUAGUCUCAAUCACAGACAACAAAUAUUAUCUGAAAGUUGAGUUAUUGUUGUUUAUCAGCAUAAUAUAAAAAGAUUAAUGUUAGAAAUAUUCCAGUUAAGACUCUAGAAUAUCAUGAUUUAUGUAAAUUUACCUCAAUAAUAUAAAUGUUCAGGUUAAGAUUGUACAGUGAUAUUUAUUAUGCAAGUUUAGCUGUUUAAAGUUUAUGACUCUGCACUAAAAUAUUAUUUAAACUGACAUCAUUAUUAUAAUAUUUAGGGUCAGACCCUACUGUAUUGAGAUUAAGAAAUCAAAUAUUCUAUAAAAUGUAAAUACACUGAACUCAUUGGGAUAUAUUUAAGUGAGACUCUACAAUAUUAUUUGACACAAAUCUAUCUAAAUCAAAAUUUUAAUCAUUUUUACUUCAAACAUUUACUGGACUGAUUUAAACAUUAAAAUCACUCCUUUCUAAUCCUCUGCUGUACGUUCAAAACUGAGGCCUUAAAUAGAAACACACAAGUAUCUGAUUGAAGGAACUUCUGCAGAGUCCUGGUUCCAGAACACGAUGAUAGAAUUAUAGACAAACUUUAACAAAAGCUGCCUGAGAGUUUACAGGUUUUCAUGUUAGAUUUCUUCAGUAAUUUAAUGAGAGUUAUCAGCAAAAAUCAAGUGUUCAUUUGAUGAACUUCAUUUCCUAAAACAUCCAGAAUUGGAGCUCAUAUCUUUGACAGCUGUAAAGUUUCUGCUCCUUCAAAGUUCACAACACGAGUGAAUUAAUUCCUAAAACACUCUCAAUGCUGGAGAGCGUUUGUGAUGCUGAAGCAGUGAUCAGUUUUUCUGUUUCUUCUCUGGAGAUGGACAAAGAGGGACAUCUGCAGAGACUGAGAAAGAGUCUCACCUCAUCCUGACAUGAGGAAAAAGACUUUAUUGAAGACUACAAUGAGAAAAACUAUCAGACAGCAGACGGCUGCAUUCAAGAGAGGAAGACCAUCAAACAUCCACAUCAGCUGAUGGAGAUCCAAGAGUCUCACCGAACAAACAACCUACAGAGUGAAGACCUCAAAUCUGAUUGGACGGCCUCCUAUUCAGCCACGUGUCUCAACAAAUGCCUCUAAGUUGAUUUGUUUUCUAAAAUAAAUCUAGUUUGAGUCCUAAUCUAUGCCUGUGUGUUUG